Molecule: long non-coding RNA, 170 nt
Organism: Bombus huntii
Lineage: Eukaryota; Metazoa; Arthropoda; Insecta; Hymenoptera; Apidae
Exons: 2
Source: RefSeq, a predicted model, not a curated record
GUACACUAUCAGAAAUGUAGCGAACUUCAGUUCAUUUCGAAAUUAACAAGAAAUGUAUAAUAAAUCCUAAAUGGAGUGCUGGUACGUAUUCCGAACAAAGCUAGCAGAUCUUAUCGCUAUGCAAACAAGAAAGAAUGAAAAUGACUCAGUAAAAAUAUCAUAGAAAGAAA